RNAcentral lists this ribosomal RNA (261 nucleotides) under uncultured archaeon. RNAcentral's name for it is "partial 16S ribosomal RNA". It matches the Rfam family "Archaeal small subunit ribosomal RNA", at positions 1 to 240 of the family's 1478-position model. The record is from RNAcentral.
UUCCGGUUGAUCCUGCCGGACCCCACUGCUAUCGGGAUAGGACUAAGACAUGCUAGUCGAGCGCGUCAGCCAAAACGAUGCGCGGCAUACAGCUCAGUAACACGUGGCUAAUCUGCCCUUAGGACGAGAACAACCCCGGGAAACUGGGGCUAACUCUCGAUAGGCGAAGAACACUGGAAUGUGCCUUUACUUAAAUAGCUUCACGUUAUGCUCGUGGAGUCGCCUAAGGAUGAGGCCGCGACCGAUCAGGUUGUUGGUGAG